CGCAAGCCUGAUCCAGCCAUGCCGCGUGAGUGAUGAAGGCCUUAGGGUUGUAAAGCUCUUUUGUCGGGGAAGAUAAUGACGGUACCGGCAAGAAUAAGCCCCGGCUAACUUCGUGCCAGCAGCCGCGGUAAUA
Molecule: ribosomal RNA, 133 nt
Filed under: uncultured bacterium
Lineage: Bacteria
Description: partial 16S ribosomal RNA
Rfam family: Bacterial small subunit ribosomal RNA
Source: RNAcentral